This 307-nucleotide ribosomal RNA is filed under the name Solen grandis (grand razor shell). RNAcentral's name for it is "partial 16S ribosomal RNA". It matches the Rfam family "Archaeal large subunit ribosomal RNA", at positions 2033 to 2588 of the family's 2987-position model. Lineage: Eukaryota; Metazoa; Mollusca; Bivalvia; Adapedonta; Solenidae. The record is from RNAcentral.
GUAAUAAGUGCCUCUUAAUUGGGGGCUAGAAUGAAGGGUUUGACGUAAAAAAGUUUGUCUCCAAAAUAAAAGUAUGAAGUUUUCUUUUCAGUGAAAAGUCUGAUAUAAUGGUAAAAGACGAGAAGACCCUGUCGAGCUUGAUAAAACAUACAAAAAAUAGUGUAUUAAUAAGUUUAGCUGGGGCAGUUCGGAACAAAAAAAAGUUUCGUUUAUAUAAUAGAGAUCCGACUCAUGUCGAAUGAAGAAAAAGCUACCGCAGGGAUAACAGCGCUAUUCCUCUUGAGAGGACUAAUUGAAGGGGGAGAUU